CGAGAGCCUCGAGCGUUAUCCGGAGUUAUUGGGCGUAAAGGGUGCGUAGGUUGUUCUGUUAGUCUUUUAUUAAAGCCCCGAGCUUAACUUGGGAUAUGUAAAAGAAACGGCAGAACUAGAAAGUGCGAGGGGUGUACGGAACUCAUGGUGUAGGGGUGAAAUCCGUUGAUAUCAUGGGGAACACCAAAAGCGAAAGCAGUACACUGGCGCAUAUUUGACACUGAAGCACGAAAGCGUGGGUAGCGAAUGGGAUUAGAUACCCCAGUAGUCCACGCCCUAAACGAUGAUUUCUCGCUAUUCGGAGUAUCGACCCUCUGAGUGGCUAAGCUAACGCGUUAAGAAAUCCGCCUGGGAAGUACGGCCGCAAGGCUA
RNAcentral lists this ribosomal RNA (372 nucleotides) under uncultured organism. RNAcentral's name for it is "bacterial SSU rRNA". It matches the Rfam family "Bacterial small subunit ribosomal RNA", at positions 526 to 896 of the family's 1533-position model. The record is from RNAcentral.